CCUUUUCAUCCGUGUGGCCGUAUAUAAAUAACGUGCACCUAUCUGAUUAUCAAGUUAGAAAUUGGAAUUACUCUUGUUCUAUUCCUCUGUUACAUAUCUCUGUGAUUUUGUGAAGGAGCUCUAGCUAGGAUGAGUGAGCCACCAAAGUAUGCAUAUCCUUACCCUGCUCAAGGUUAUUAUCAAGGUCCUCCAGUGAUGCCACCACCACAAUAUUAUACAGCUCCUCCCCCAAGAAGGGAUCCUGGUUUUCUUGAGGGAUGUCUGGCAGCUCUGUGUUGCUGUUUCCUUAUUGAUGAGUGUUGCUGCGACCCUUCCAUCCUCUUCAUCUGUUGAUAUUUUAUUUUUAUCUCGUGUGAAGAUAUAUAAUAUUGUGUUAUUGUCUCAGAAUAUUAAUUCGUUGCUUCAAAGUUGAUGAAUCUGCAUAUUUUGUGUUUAAAAUUUUAGAGAGACUAAUCCUUCCAUCCUCUUCACCUCACCUGUUGGAUAAAAUAUUAUGAAGAAAAUCUCCUAUGAAGAUUGUUAUA
Long non-coding RNA from Lycium ferocissimum, 524 nucleotides. RefSeq lists it as uncharacterized. The transcript is spliced from 3 exons. The record is from RefSeq and is a predicted model, not a curated record. NCBI's taxonomy places the organism in Eukaryota, Viridiplantae, Streptophyta, Magnoliopsida, Solanales, Solanaceae.